GACGCUGGCCAAUGAGCCUACACAGAAUGUC
This 31-nucleotide non-coding RNA is filed under the name Homo sapiens (human). Lineage: Eukaryota; Metazoa; Chordata; Mammalia; Primates; Hominidae. The record is from RNAcentral.